GAUGAACGCUGGCGGCGUGCCUAAUACAUGCAAGUCGAGCGAACGGACGAGAAGCUUGCUUCUCUGAUGUUAGCGGCGGACGGGUGAGUAACACGUGGAUAACCUACCUAUAAGACUGGGAUAACUUCGGGAAACCGGAGCUAAUACCGGCUAAUAUUUUGAACCGCAUGGUUCAAAAGUGAAAGACGGUCUUGCUGUCACUUAUAGAUGGAUCUGCGCUGCAUUAGCUAGUUGGUAAGGUAACGGCUUACCAAGGCAACGAUGCAUAGCCGACCUGAGAGGGUGAUCGGCCACACGGGAACUGAGACACGGUCCAGACUCCUACGGGAGGCAGCAGUAGGGAAUCUUCCGCAAAGGGCGAAAGCCUGACGGAGCAACGCCGCGUGAGUGAUGAAGGUCUUCGGAUCGUAAAACUCUGUUAUUAGGGAAGAACAUAUGUGUAAGUAACUGUGCACAUCUUGACGGUACCUAAUCAGAAAGCCACGGCUAACUACGUG
This 497-nucleotide ribosomal RNA is filed under the name uncultured bacterium. RNAcentral's name for it is "partial 16S ribosomal RNA". It matches the Rfam family "Bacterial small subunit ribosomal RNA", at positions 28 to 507 of the family's 1533-position model. The record is from RNAcentral.